GUGAGGAAUAUUGGUCAAUGGGCGAGAGCCUGAACCAGCCAAGUCGCGUGAAGGAUGAAGGUUUUAUGAAUUGUAAACUUCUUUUGCAGGGGAAUAAAGUACGGUACGUGUACCGUUUUGUAUGUACUCUGCGAAUAAGGAUCGGCUAACUCCGUGCCAGCAGCCGCGGUAAUACGGAGGAUCCAAGCGUUAUCCGGAUUUAUUGGGUUUAAAGGGUGCGCAGGCGGGUUGAUAAGUCAGCGGUGAAAGUUUGCAGCUUAACUGUAAAAUUGCCGUUGAAACUGUCGAUCUUGAGUGCAAAUGAGGUAAGCGGAAUGCGUUGUGUAGCGGUGAAAUGCUUAGAUAUAACACAGAACACCGAUUGCGAAGGCAGCUUACUGGGAUGCAACUGACGCUCAUGCACGAAAGCGUGGGUAUCAAACAGGAUUAGAAACCCUGGUAGUCC
Molecule: ribosomal RNA, 445 nt
Filed under: uncultured bacterium
Lineage: Bacteria
Description: partial 16S ribosomal RNA
Rfam family: Bacterial small subunit ribosomal RNA
Source: RNAcentral